This 253-nucleotide ribosomal RNA is filed under the name uncultured bacterium. RNAcentral's name for it is "partial 16S ribosomal RNA". It matches the Rfam family "Bacterial small subunit ribosomal RNA", at positions 524 to 776 of the family's 1533-position model. The record is from RNAcentral.
GACAGAGGGUGCAAACGUUGUUCGGAAUUACUGGGCGUAAAGCGCGUGUAGGCGGCUCGGAAAGUCGGAUGUGAAAGCCCAGGGCUCAACCCUGGAAGUGCACUCGAAACUCCCGAGCUGGAGUCCCGGAGAGGAAGGCGGAAUUCUCGGUGUAGAGGUGAAAUUCGUAGAUAUCGAGAGGAACACCUGUGGCGAAGGCGGCCUUCUGGACGGUGACUGACGCUGAGACGCGAAGGCGUGGGGAGCGAACGGG